CGCCGCCCGACGCCUUCUCGCACGCAAGGAGGCGCUGCUCCUCGCCUUGCCCCGGCGCAGGGAACUCCGCUCUCCAGAUUAAACCAUGAACUGCACGAAGAAACUGUGGGCAAAGAAAGCAGCAGAACUGUUCACAAGAAAUCUCUUGAAUACUGAUGACGAUGCGUAUCCAGAUGCAUGUCCACGUGAGCCGAGAGGUGGAUGAGGCUGGAUAAAGUACUGACUACAAUGGGCACUGGAGUAAUUGGAGAAAUACGGCACAAAGGAUGAGGCCCUGCUUCGUCAACAGUUCCAGCAACGCUAAGAGAGGCCAGUCUUGGGACCACGAGGAGCCGGUCUCACCCCAGAGCUGUCACAGGACGAACAACUGUGAGCCCCCAAACAUCACACAACACUGCUCAGUCGUAUUACCAGAGAAAGUAAAAAGACGUCCUUCGAAAAUGGGUAUGUGAAACUCUGCAGAUGUCUUCCCAGUUACAUGUGGAGAUUUCACAGUCUGUAUCUGUAAUGUUCAAAAAUAAUCGAAGUUUCAAGAACGGGAGAACUUUCAAUAGUUGAUGACAGUACCAGAAGAAGUGAGAAAGAGAAUUGCCGUGAAGGACAUCAA
Long non-coding RNA from Schistocerca cancellata (South American locust), 607 nucleotides. RefSeq lists it as uncharacterized. The transcript is spliced from 6 exons. The record is from RefSeq and is a predicted model, not a curated record. Lineage: Eukaryota; Metazoa; Arthropoda; Insecta; Orthoptera; Acrididae.